RNAcentral lists this long non-coding RNA (1377 nucleotides) under Astyanax mexicanus (Mexican tetra). RNAcentral's name for it is "lncRNA (ENSAMXG00005003489.1)". Lineage: Eukaryota; Metazoa; Chordata; Actinopteri; Characiformes; Acestrorhamphidae. The record is from RNAcentral.
UUUAUAAACGAGCCUGUAGAUACACACCCCCCCACCUGCAGAUCAGUUACCUCGGUCCCACCAAGCUGCCGUCCUAUGAGGAGGCUGCAGCCGAGCUCAGAGCUCCACCCCCUCCGUACAGUACUGUGUUUGUCCUGCAGGGCGGCGCUCUACUCUCCUCCCGCAGCUCUGGGACCUUUAGCUCCUCCUCCUCCGAGUCCAGCUCUCUGUUCUCUAGCUCCGCCCCCACGGACGACCUGCUGACCAGCAGCGCCACCACGCCCAGCGACUCCGUGCCAUGCUUAGCUCCACCUCCCAUAGCAGAAGAGACCAAUCCUGAACAGUCGGUGUGUGGGACAACACUGUUGCCACGCCCACAGGAGUUGGAGUCUAUCUUACACAAAGAAGGCGGAGCCGAGGAGAGAGCCAGAGCCCCGCCCUCUGCCGGCAGACACGCCGCGUUCUCCUCCAGUGUGUCGGUGCUGGAGAUUGAGGGGCGGGGCAGCGAAGAGGACCUGAAGGAGAACAGGUUCCGGAUGCGCACUCUGACGGGCGACUCCGGGAUCGAGGUGUGUCGCUGCAGAGUGAUCCAGGAGGAGGAGGAGGACGAAGAGGAGGAGGAGGGGCGUGAAGUGGGUGGAGCUUGGCCUAUCCAUGAUAGUGUGGACUGUCCACGGCGGACUUUUUCUGACCAAUCAGAGCUCUCGGCGGUGGGCUGCAGUCAUUGCGGCUCCGCCUACUGCAAGCAGAGGGGCGGAGAUUCCUCAGUUACAGUGGAAUCCUUAUAAAAACAACCAAUGAAAUGUGUGAAAGGAAUUAUUUGUAAAUGAAACAUAUAUUUAAAUUUGUAUUUUAUUCCUCGAUUAGCUGCGACGCAUUUAGCACUUCUUUAGAUUUACGCUGCUAACAAUGCUAACAGAUACCAAAAUAUAUGCCUUAUCAAUUAGCCUGAUGCUAAUAAUAUUUUGUGUCUGUGUUUUUUAAGCUUUUUAUUUAUUAUUAUUCCUUUAAUGCAGCAGCAGCGCCUCCUGUGGCAGUGUUUAUAACACUUUAUAAAAACACUGAGCUUUUGCUCAGUCUUACCUCCAUAUCCCAAAUCUCCAUUCAUUACUCUGUAGGUAGAAGUAUAGAUACUCAUGUUUAUAAAAUACUUCUGUAGAAGAAUCAACUCAAGCUUUUUACUCUUUAAGUAAAAGUGUAAAAGUACUGGAUUCAAAAAUACUUAAAGUAUAAAAGUAAAAGUAAUGUAAGGAGAAACAUUAAACCCAUUAAGAACAGAAGCUUAGGCCACGCCCACAGAGUCCUAUAGUGCACUAAAACACCCUCCCCCCAAAACACUACAUUUUACUAAAAGCUAUAAUGACUAUAAUAAUGUUUAAAUAUUAAAAUGUUAAUGUU